Long non-coding RNA from Rhincodon typus (whale shark), 567 nucleotides. RefSeq lists it as uncharacterized. The transcript is spliced from 3 exons. The record is from RefSeq and is a predicted model, not a curated record. NCBI's taxonomy places the organism in Eukaryota, Metazoa, Chordata, Chondrichthyes, Orectolobiformes, Rhincodontidae.
CAUGGUCUGACCGCCCGUUCCAGACCCCAGUCCAACAGCCGCCCAGCUCCGAUCCAAACCUCCAGUCCACUCUGUACCAGCUCUCAGCUGCUCCAAGAACCUACCAAAAAGAAGAAAACAACAACAGACCUGAAGAGCAAAAGACAGUAAAUAUAAAAUUACCAGAAUUGUCCCUACUCAAGUUUAAGCUGGUGAGCCAGACAUUGACGAUUGGAUGCAGCUCUUGUCUAAGUGAAGAGAUUUAGGACAAUGUGAGAACAACUACCCCAUGGAAGAGCUCAAAUAUCAUUGUGGCAAAUGGCCAAGGUAGCACAGGAAAGUUGUGCCAGAUACUUCUUCUCUCUGCACUUGGAAAAAUCUCAGAAAUUGUGACUUUUAAAGGAUGACAAGAGCACUUAUCUGAAGAAACCAUUCAAAGCCAGCCCAAACAAGUGAGAAUUUACAGCGGUGUCGGCAAAUGUUAGGAACACAAUGUAGUGUUGUUAGAUCUUGAAGACAGAACUGCUCAGCUUAGCAUUUUAACUAUCUUCCUUAAAAUUAUGGAGUCAGUUCUUUCCAACAUGUUCU